Molecule: long non-coding RNA, 467 nt
Organism: Lagopus muta (rock ptarmigan)
Lineage: Eukaryota; Metazoa; Chordata; Aves; Galliformes; Phasianidae
Exons: 4
Source: RefSeq, a predicted model, not a curated record
CACAGCUGGAGUUUGAGAACUUUGCAGUUGAACUUAGCCCAGGCUGCACUUACAGUUCAGUUGCUGUUUACAGUGAUGAAGAUUAAAAUCAGCUGGCUAAUCUCUGUGGAUUCUCAGCUCCCAAACCAGUGCUGAGUCCAGGAAAUACUAUGCUGGUGCAUUUUGGAAGUGAUGGGGAGAACAGCUUCAGAGGAUUCAGAGCCCAUCUCACUUUUAUUCAUUCAGGUCUGAAAGUCUUUCCCCAAGUAUGUAAGAGGGAUUUUGCAGCGAGGCGGGUUCUUGUUGAUCUCAAAUCCUUUUGUGCACUAUUUCCAUGGACAAAAAGUAAUAAGGAGACAUCUGUGGCCUUCCCACAGUGGUGUUACUAGGGCUGAAUAGGCCUUUCCUCACAGCUGGCCACAGCAUGCUGCUCUGAACCUCCUUUGAGACUACCAGUUGUCAUCAGCCCCAUAUGGAUCCUGACAGCU